CUCUGCCCUCAUGCGCAUCCUCAUGCGCUCCCGCGUGCUCAACGAGGAGCCCCUGAUGCUGGCGGGCGAGGAGAUCGUGGCCCAGGGCAAGCGCUCGGACCCGCGGAGCCUGCUGUGCUAUGGCGGCGCCCCAGGGCCUGGCUGCCACUUCUCCAUCCCCGAGGCUUUCAGCGGGGCCCUGGCCAACCUCAGUGACGUGGUGCAGCUCAUCUUUCUGGUGGACUCCAAUCCCUUUCCCUUUGGCUAUAUCAGCAACUACACCGUCUCCACCAAGGUGGCCUCGAUGGCAUUCCAGACACAGGCCGGCGCCCAGAUCCCCAUCGAGCGGCUGGCCUCAGAGCGCGCCAUCACCGUGAAGGUGCCCAACAACUCGGACUUGGCUGCCCGGGGCCACCGCAGCUCCGCCAACUCCGUUGUGGUCCAGCCCCAGGCCUCCGUCGGUGCUGUGGUCACCCUGGACAGCAGCAACCCUGCGGCCGGGCUGCAUCUGCAGCUCAACUAUACGCUGCUGGACGGCCGCUACCUGUCUGAGGAACCCGAGCCCUACCUGGCAGUCUACCUGCACUCGGAGCCCCGGCCCAAUGAGCACAACUGCUCGGCUAGCAGGAGGAUCCGCCCAGAGUCACUCCAGGGUGCCGACCACCGGCCCUACACCUUCUUCAUUUCCCCGGGGAGCAGAGACCCAGCGGGGAGUUACCAUCUGAACCUCUCCAGCCACUUCCGCUGGUCAGUGCUGGAGGUGUCCGUGGGCCUGUACACGUCCCUGUGUCAGUACUUCAGCGAGGAGGACAUGGUGUGGAGGACAGAGGGGCUGCUGCCCCUGGAGGAGACCUCGCCCCGCCAGGCCGUCUGCCUCACCCGCCACCUCACCGCCUUCGGCGCCAGCCUCUUCGUGCCCCCAAGCCAUGUCCGCUUUGUCUUUCCGGAGCCGACAGCGGAUGUAAACUACAUCGUCAUGCUGACAUGUGCUGUGUGCCUGGUGACCUACAUGGUCAUGGCCGCCAUCCUGCACAAGCUGGACCAGUUGGAUGCCAGCCGAGGCCGCGCCAUCCCCUUCUGUGGGCAGCGGGGCCGCUUCAAGUACGAGAUCCUCGUCAAGACAGGCUGGGGCCGGGGCUCAGGUACCACGGCCCACGUGGGCAUCAUGCUGUAUGGGGUGGACAGCCGGAGUGGCCACCGGCACCUGGACGGCGACAGAGCCUUCCACCGCAACAGCCUGGACAUCUUCCGGAUCGCCACCCCGCAUAGCCUGGGUAGCGUGUGGAAGAUCCGAGUGUGGCACGACAACAAAGGGCUCAGCCCUGCCUGGUUCCUGCAGCACAUCAUCGUCAGGGACCUGCAGACGGCACGCAGCGCCUUCUUCCUGGUCAAUGACUGGCUUUCGGUGGAGACGGAGGCCAACGGGGGCCUGGUGGAGAAGGAGGUGCUGGCCGCGAGCGACGCAGCCCUGUUGCGCUUCCGGCGCCUGCUGGUGGCUGAGCUGCAGCGCGGCUUCUUUGACAAGCACAUCUGGCUCUCCAUAUGGGACCGGCCGCCUCGUAGCCGUUUCACUCGCAUCCAGAGGGCCACCUGCUGCGUUCUCCUCAUCUGCCUCUUCCUGGGCGCCAACGCCGUGUGGUACGGGGCUGUUGGCGACUCUGCCUACAGCACGGGGCGUGUGUCCAGGCUGAGCCCGCUGAGUGUCGACACAGUCGCUGUUGGCCUGGUGUCCAGCGUGGUUGUCUAUCCCGUCUACCUGGCCAUCCUCUUUCUCUUCCGGAUGUCCCGGAGCAAGGUGGCUGGGAGCCCGAGCCCCACACCUGCCGGGCAGCAGGUGCUGGACAUCGACAGCUGCCUGGACUCGUCCGUGCUGGACAGCUCCUUCCUCACGUUCUCAGGCCUCCACGCUGAGGUGAGGGCUCUACUGGGGGUCCUGGGCUGGGCUGGGGGUCCUGCCGCCUUGGCGCAGCUUGGACUCAAGACACUGUGCACCUCUUAGCAGGCCUUUGCUGGACAGAUGAAGAGUGACUUGUUUCUGGAUGAUUC
RNAcentral lists this small RNA (2025 nucleotides) under Pan troglodytes (chimpanzee). Its description in RNAcentral is "retained intron". The record is from RNAcentral. Lineage: Eukaryota; Metazoa; Chordata; Mammalia; Primates; Hominidae.